RNAcentral lists this ribosomal RNA (24 nucleotides) under Blumeria graminis. RNAcentral's name for it is "partial 18S ribosomal RNA". The record is from RNAcentral. Lineage: Eukaryota; Fungi; Ascomycota; Leotiomycetes; Helotiales; Erysiphaceae.
GUGAACCUGCGUGAAGGAUCAUUA